CGUGCCUAAUACAUGCAAGUCGAGCGAACAGACGAGGAGCUUGCUCCUCUGACGUUAGCGGCGGACGGGUGAGUAACACGUGGAUAACCUACCUAUAAGACUGGGAUAACUUCGGGAAACCGGAGCUAAUACCGGAUAAUAUAUUGAACCGCAUGGUUCAAUAGUGAAAGACGGUUUUGCUGUCACUUAUAGAUGGAUCCGCGCCGCAUUAGCUAGUUGGUAAGGUAACGGCUUACCAAGGCAACGAUGCGUAGCCGACCUGAGAGGGUGAUCGGCCACACUGGAACUGAGACACGGUCCAGACUCCUACGGGAGGCAGCAGUAGGGAAUCUUCCGCAAUGGGCGAAAGCCUGACGGAGCAACGCCGCGUGAGUGAUGAAGGUCUUCGGAUCGUAAAACUCUGUUAUUAGGGAAGAA
This 417-nucleotide ribosomal RNA is filed under the name Staphylococcus epidermidis. RNAcentral's name for it is "bacterial SSU rRNA". It matches the Rfam family "Bacterial small subunit ribosomal RNA", at positions 43 to 449 of the family's 1533-position model. The record is from RNAcentral. Lineage: Bacteria; Bacillati; Bacillota; Bacilli; Caryophanales; Staphylococcaceae.